This is a long non-coding RNA of Rhineura floridana, 3269 nucleotides long. RefSeq lists it as uncharacterized. The transcript is spliced from 4 exons. NCBI's taxonomy places the organism in Eukaryota, Metazoa, Chordata, Lepidosauria, Squamata, Rhineuridae. The record is from RefSeq and is a predicted model, not a curated record.
UCAAAUUUCAGAAUAAUAAAGUUGAGGGCCCCUUCUACAGAGCCAUGCGCACUCUCUUCUUCAAACUAUCCCUCAAGAUUUCAGUAAGCUUUCCCCACACACAUUCAAAUAUUUUUGCAGCUUAAAGAAACAUUAAAGUAAAUGCUGAACUUCUCAAGCAGCUCAAGACAUUUCUUGGCACUCCCGGAUAAUUACAGUUUACACACAGGCUUGCCCUUGCAUUACACUCAGUUGUGACAAUAGCCACAGUAAACUGUUCUGUCUUUCAUAAGGACAGAGAGUGGGAUGGCGUGUGGCGUAUUUGGAGGCUGGGGCUAGAAAAGAGGAUGUCAGUCACUUCUGGGCCAUGAAGAGAGGGGAUAUUAAAUAGGCUUUGUACUGCAGUGUUGAUUUUUAUGUUGACAGGAUCCCUGAGGAAUUCGGAGUCAGAAGGGCACUUCUGGCCUAGUUUCAGCUUGACAAGACUUACAGCUGUUUGGGGAGUGCAAAGGAGUCACGAAGAUUCCCAGACUUUGACUUAGGUGUCUCGGUAUCCAUGCUGGAUCCACCUUGUUGGGUCUACCGCAAGUCUUUAUGGCCUCCAUAAGAACUGUGGGAUUUUCUCUGUAUGCAAACAGAUUCAUUUAUAAGCCACGCCAUACAUUUUACUCUAACUGUAUAAAUCACUAAGCACGAUCUACUGGUUGAGGACAUUGUGAGUACAACCGCCAGCAAUUAUCCAUUGAGUUUGUGGAUUCUGGGAUAUCUGCAGGGGUUGAAAAACCAUUGUUGAUCUGUGCUAGAUUAAGUGAGUUUCCCUAACUGUCUGGGGAAGCUGUCAAUUCCUUCCUUGGUCAAUUGUUGGGAAUUAAGGAAUUGCUGUAGGCAAUUGACAUGAUGGUUCCUAGGUAUCUUCUCCACCAGCAUGUGAAAGUGGGUAUCUCUUAGUUUGCUGAGGAGUUCCAGGUGCUGACACUAGACAGAACAUUAUUAGGGAGCAGAUGGUGCAAAAUGUGGGUCAAAUCAGAACACACAUAACAUAGAACCUGCUUCAAAAAGAGGCUGCCAGCCUAGGGUAGCAGGGAUGCCAAUAAUAGUAAGCUGCUUCAGAGGUGGUCUUGGAUAAGAUGGUAGACAAUUUUUGAUGGAGAAAGAGAAGCUCCAGGUUCUAUUCUGUGGUGGCUGACUCACUGCAGAGAGGACCAGCACAUAUACGUCCAGUCUUGCCAAAUUAGGAUGGCUAACUAUUUUUUACUGUUCUUCACUCCUGUGUUUUAACAAUAGAAAUUAAGUAGGCGACAAUACUUAUGCCCAUGCCUUUACAGUAGUUUCUAUACAACUCCAGGCAUACUUGGAUGUGACUAAACCACUACAUUCACGUUGAUUGGGGUUUGCACCUGAUUUUGGCACUGCUUUGGUUUUCCUUGAUGAAUGACGUAAGCCAGGAGAAAGACAGGGGAAGUAUGAUCUUGCUGAUUCUGCUAGAUCUUGGCAGCUUUUGAUCUCAUUAACCAUGGUGUCCACCUGGGUAGGCUGACCAGGGUGGGAAUUGGGAGGCACUGUGUUGCAAUGGUUUUUUUCCUACCUGGAUGCCUGUUUUUAGACAUUUCUGACUUCAGAAAUGUCAGCCUGUUCAGGGGAACUAUUGUCUGACACCUUGACAUGUUUUUGCUAAGCAAUCCCAUAGGGUUCUACUUUGUGCCUCUUCUUAUUUAACAUCUACAUGACACUGCUGUAUGAGGUCAUCUAGAGGUUUGGGGUGAGGGGUCCUCAAAAAGUGAAUGGCAUUUAAGGCUUGCUUCUCCUUCUCAUCAGCCUAAGAUGAAGUAGUAUAAAUCAGUGCCUGGCUGUAGUGACGGACAAGAGGACAGACAAGAUAAAGCUAUAAAUGAGCAUAUGCAAUUUUGAUGCAGAUCUGUGCCCUCUUCCUUAGUGAUGCGUUAGUGGCCACCCCACUUGAAGAAGAGAACAUGUCAGAUCAAGACUGCUGGUUAUGUGCAAGCCUCUCUGAAUGGACUCUUGCCAUGUGUCACCUUGAAAGGUCCUCUUUAUCACCCUUUCUACCGUGCAGAUCCCAUUGGCUUACUAUUGAGAAAAAAUCCUCAUUAUAGCUACAGCAAAAGUCCCAUUGCAGAUGCCUCUGACUUCUUUAAGCGAUACUCCUCAACUUAAUCAAAUGUUUGCCAUGUUUUGUGAGCUUUACCUGCUGGGGACUUUUUUGACUGAAACCCUAUGAACCAGGUGUUUCACCUACUCUUGGCGAAGGGAAAAUGAUGGCUCCAUAUCUCCUGGAGGAAAAAUGAUCUCAAAUGGCUCUCUCUGACAAAUGACCUGGGACACCUAGCAAGAUGCUGUUCUCUUGCACCACAUGGCAUAUGAAUGGCUAAUACCCCAUCACCUCCUCACAUUUCUCCAAAUCAAAACUUCCACUGACCUUAAACAGCAACAAGAUUUUGCUCCGUCAUCGAGUAAUGUAUUUCAAGGUCACGUGAGAGUUUGCUAAAUAUAUCCCUAAGUAUUUAUCAUCUUUCUGAUUUCUUUUUUUAAAAAAAUUAUUACUUAGUUGCUGUUGUUUGUAUUGCUGCUGCUGGCUAAAUACCAAACCUCUUAGGGAUAAAAAGAAGAUUAAUGGAGCCCAUUGAAGAAGCUGUACUUCAUUGGCGGGGCCUGAAAUGUUCUCAUGGCACUUAAGAUUUGAACGUUAAGAGCAAGAAAGUUAUAAAUAAAAAUAUGGAAGUAAGAUAAGAGCUGGAUGCCUGAUCAAAAUAUGACUUUAUGUAAUGAAUGAGACUUUUUUUUUUAGCUCAGUCUUGGAAUUUCUUAGAGUGUGAUGGAAGACUAGAACUCAAAGAUAGCCAUAUUAAAAGAGAGUUAUACAAGGCUGAGGCAGUUAUUCGUUCCUGCAGGAGAUGGAGGCUUUUUGAAAGGAAACUGCAUUUUUCAGUCUUUCAGGAAUCACCCUCUCAUCAUGGUGGUGAGGCAGCUGAACAUUACAUUUCUCCUUGCUCAGAAGUGUGUAUGGCUGUGUGUGUGGGUGGGGGGAAUAACCUGUGGCAAAUUGCUUUUUGAGGCUAGGUUUGCGGAUACAAUUCCACCCUACAGAAAUAUGGUUGUUCACAAAAAAAUGGCAGUAGAAAUGAUAUUGCACCAGCUAAUCCAUGAGGAUUCCUCACCUUGCAUAAUGAAUUUAUGCUACUGGUUUUGGGUGAUCUCUUCCAAUGUAUUAACAGUGGAGACAUGUCAUGGAUAUACAAUUUCAAAUGCUUCAAACCCCUGUCUGGAUAUGUUGA